GACGAACGCUGGCGGCGUGCUUAACACAUGCAAGUCGAACGGAAAGGCCUGCUUUCCUUUGUGGAUUGCGGGUACUCGAGUGGCGAACGGGUGAGUAACACGUGAGUGAUCUGCCCCCAACUUGGGUAUAAGCCUGGGAAACUGGGUCUAAUUCCCGAUAGGACUGCAGGGUGGUGCCUGUGGUGGAAAACGAUUUUCUAGUGGUUGGGGAUGAGCUCGCGGCCUAUCAGCUUGUUGGUGGGGUAAUGGCCUACCAAGGCGGCGACGGGUAGCCGGCCUGAGAGGGUGGACGGCCACAUUGGGACUGAGAUACGGCCCAGACUCCUACGGGAGGCAGCAGUGGGGAAUAUUACACAAUGGGCGGAAGCCUGAUGCAGCGACGCCGCGUGGGGGAUGACGGCCUUCGGGUUGUAAACUCCUUUCGACCGCGAGGAAGCCACCUGGUUGGAAGGGUGGUGACGGUAGUGGUAGAAGAAGCACCGGCUAACUACGUG
Molecule: ribosomal RNA, 494 nt
Filed under: uncultured bacterium
Lineage: Bacteria
Description: partial 16S ribosomal RNA
Rfam family: Bacterial small subunit ribosomal RNA
Source: RNAcentral